This 996-nucleotide long non-coding RNA is filed under the name Astyanax mexicanus (Mexican tetra). RNAcentral describes it as "lncRNA (ENSAMXG00005015499.1)". Lineage: Eukaryota; Metazoa; Chordata; Actinopteri; Characiformes; Acestrorhamphidae. The record is from RNAcentral.
UUUUAAAUAACAUUUUUACAUUUGUAUAUUGUCCAACACCGGAGUUAUUUCAAACAAACAACAAAAACUGAAAAACAUAUCUUUAUCUAAUUGAUUUAAAUAAAUUACAUCCAGCGAAUCUUUUUAAUUAAUGUUUAUAACAAUAAGGAAAAAAAUCCUUGUAAAUCUAAACAGCGAAAACUGUGUUUUUUAACUCUGUAGACGAGAUUAAGUCUAUCAUUUUUUCUCCUGUUUGCUGUCAGAGCUAUUUCUUGUUUACUUCAGUGUGGAAACAGCGGACUUAAAUGUAAAAUUAUUUGUAGCGGUUUAAGUGUAUAUCACAUUCUAGAAGAGGGCGGCCGUGUCCCCUCAGCUCGGCUGUGCCCCGGGGUGGCUUCAGCAGCAGCAUUAGUCUGUUUUAAUUCCGCUCAUACUGGCCCGUUUCUCCUCCAGAGCGAAGCAGAUAAUGAUGGUGAAUAGGAGAAGAGUGCAGCAGUGAAGUGGCCCCGGCGCUCUGUUCCGCGCUCUCUGAGCCAUUACAACACGACUCCCGUAAUCUCCGUUAACUCUAAUCACCUCUAAUGUAAAAGGCGCUCAGCUACAAUGAACCAUCAGGUCCAGAAUAAGUGCAUUUACAAACGAAGUGAUGCCUCCCACUACUUUUCCUGACCUCUUCAUUUAUUAAAUAAAUAUCACUUAGUGCAUAAUUACAGCUACAAUUUUGAGGAGCAUCUGAAGAGCAUCUCAGGAGCAUGUGACUGCUUAUUUCAUACAGCCCAAAUUAAAGGUUUGAAUCCCACUUGCUUGUUUGAAAUGUAUUUAAACAAAUGCUGUUGCCAUGUUUGUUCGUGUUUUGUUUUCCAUGUUUUUUUCCUGUCUAAGUGUUUCCCCCUUGGUUCUGGAAGAGUUCACACGAUCAAGCAAGGCACCCAGGAUCGGGACAGUAGUACCUCUUCCAUGCAGCUGACCACAGCCAGGGUGGAACAGAAGCAUUAACGGCUGACCUCAGAGGCUGAG